RNAcentral lists this ribosomal RNA (252 nucleotides) under uncultured bacterium. Its description in RNAcentral is "partial 16S ribosomal RNA". It matches the Rfam family "Bacterial small subunit ribosomal RNA", at positions 524 to 776 of the family's 1533-position model. The record is from RNAcentral.
UACGUAGGGGGCGAGCGUUAUCCGGAUUUAUUGGGCGUAAAGCGUGCGUAGGCGGUUUGUUAAGUCCAGAAUUAAAGCCCGAGGCUUAACCUCGGUUCGUUCUGGAAACUGGCAGACUAGAGUAUGGUAGAGGCAAAUGGAAUUCCUAGUGUAGCGGUGAAAUGCGUAGAUAUUAGGAGGAACACCAGUGGCGAAGGCGAUUUGCUGGGCCAUCACUGACGCUGAGGUACGAAAGCGUGGGGAGCAAAUAGG